This is a long non-coding RNA of Oreochromis aureus, 6379 nucleotides long. The record is from Ensembl. Lineage: Eukaryota; Metazoa; Chordata; Actinopteri; Cichliformes; Cichlidae.
GGGCUUGUUAUAGUCUUGUUGUUGAAAUAAGACAAAGAUGUUUGUUGCAAGUAUGUAAACAUUUAGUAUUUUGUCUUUGUUGAAAGAAUAAACACAGAUAUGUUUAAAAUGCCUUCAGCUUUAAUUGCAGUAAUAUUUAGCUGAGAAUACAGGUCUGUACCUACACAUCCUAUUUUAACACUUUCUACACCAGAGUAUUGUUUUAAACUUUACCACGGGCUCAUGAAUCAGUAAUACUUCAAGAUCUCCCAGAAUGACAUACAGUACAUGUUCAUUGUUGUGGCUCAGUAGUGAACUGGACGUCUGUAAGAAUUACUGGAUACAAGCGGUAUAACAUGCUGAAUUCUAACUCAUUACAAUUUAUUAAUAGAUUUGUCCAAAAUGUAACUGAACAUAGUAAAUAUUGCUAAGUUGGAGAUCAUUUAUGGUAACCAUGGAGAUAAAUAUAAGCAAAUCCUGUAUGAUUUCCUCUCAAACUUGUCUUUAUUCUUUAUUCUACUUAAACAGUUGUCAAAUAAGGAAACAUCCUAAAUGUAUAUCAAAUAAAUAAAUAUAACAAUAACACAUUGAAGAAUAAAUAUUUAUUGGCACUGAGCUCCUAGCCACCUAGAAAAUGUUUUGGCAAACCUUGUUAAAAGUCAUCUUUUAAACUGACAGAGCAACCAGCAGCAACCAGAAGCCCUUUUUUACCACAUCUAAAGUGUUACUAAUGGUUGUGGUAUGAUUCUCUGUACACUCUGUUUCAGCUCUGAUACUUUUUCCACAAGUCCAGUGUUUUGUUUAUGUCUGUACCCGCUCACAUUUGUGGCACUGUAGUUUAUGACGAGGUGUGAGAGCAUUUUUUACUUAGUUCAUCUGGCAUUUCAAAUUGCGCACCGAGAAGAAAGCUUCCUCGGAUUUCACUGACAUAUCCAAACAAAGGAACUUCAAAUGUGUGAAAUGGAUCGCACAGGAUAAGUAAGUCAAGUCAGUUGCAUUUUAAUUAUGAAAGAUUUUUUUCAUUACGUAUUGUUAAAUAACACACGUAACACACGUUUGUUAAUCAGAUAGCUAAGCUUGUAUUACUAUACAAUAAUAAACCUUUUCUCUCAUCUAUAAGACAAAAAUAUAUACUGAUUACAGCAAAUUAAAGUCUAAUGCUCAUAUCUAGUCAGCAACAGGCUCACUGUAACUAUGCUUUCAGCCUUUUAUUUCCUUCUAUAAAGCACACAGGUGCAACUUAAUUCAAUUGGAAGAUGUUGCUCUGGUUAUACACAAAUAAUACACUUCCAUGUUACCAGCAAAGUCGUUGUCAUGGAGAUGAUGAGGCUUAUAUAAGCUCAAAUGUAUUUUUGUUCAAUACAAGUGUAUUGUCUUUACUGUGCUCAUUUCAUUAUGAUUUGUUUAUACCCUCACAUAUAAUGGCAAAUUGAUUCAACAGUCUCUGUCUUUUCCAGCCAGGCACAGCAAUGCAAAGAGAUACACUUAAAAAUGAAUGUUUUUUUUCUCUCUUUUUGUUGUUGUUGUUGUUGUUGUUUUUUUUCCGGAUGGCUAGUAAGGCAUAAGGGAUCUGCUCUCAGUCAAAGCCAUUUUAUUCCAUCUGCAAAAGUUGAUAACUGGCAUUUUGUAUUUUCCGUCAGUAUCACUUUUAUCUGCAUCACUGUCACAAGCAGAGCUACAGCUUUGAUAUUAAAAUCACAGACGUCUGGUUUUGUGAAAAAAAACAAUGAAUGAUUAUAGUUCUUACCUUUCAGCCAACUAUGCAACAGUGAUGGAAAAAGAUCUUCCAGUGGGAGGGGUGUCAUUCACCCCACCUUUAACCUCGUGGCUGUGUCUAGAUCCAGCACCUACCAGCUUUCAGCAGAGGAUUAAACAGCUAAUGACAGAGAAGUGCUGUGAUUGACAAGUUAAGGUUUCCUUCCUCGUCAGAAGGGCCUUUGUGUCUGUCUCUUGCCCAUUUCUUCCCAGAACUCACAUUUCACAUUCCACCGUGACUUGAACAAUUUCUAAAUUUCUUCAUUGUGAAAUAGCUACAAGUGAACUUGGAGCCACUCUAUUCACACCGUACCUUUAAACUGAAUAAUGAAUAAGUCUUAUUUAAAGUUCUUACACUGCUGUUUGUCUGCCUUGACCAGGUUUUCUCACAUUGCAUGUCCACUGUUCAUCAGUGCAGCAAACAUCUACAGUCUGCUGCAGUCAUCGUCUCAGAUGAGGGAAUUUUCAGCAUCAGUGAAACAUGUGGGAGUACGUAGUUACUGUAUAUUUAUAUUAAGCCUUUGACUGUAUUUGAAUUGAAAGAAGGGCUGUUGGUGGUGGGUAUCACUGCUUGUAAAAACUAAAACAACUUCAAACAAAAGAUUUUGAAUAACCCUGUUUAGAUAUGAUUUUUUCUGGAGAGCCCCUAGUACAUUCAAAGCUAGCACUCCUGGUUCACUGGCAUACAUGUACUGCUGUACGGACAUUCUAAACAUUUUGACAGCUAAGAAAAAACACAAUGCAGGAUGUGAAGGCAGGUCAAAAAAUGAAGUGAUCCUCCUACUAAUGUUCCUGUCAUAUGUUCUAAAAUGUAUGGCGUGUAAGUUAGCGCUACAUCAAUAGAAACUGACAGAGAAUAAUAGCAUGAAGAGCAAAGCUGGAAGGACUUGUCUGUCUGUCUCUCUCAGUCAUCUGGACCAACCUGUCCACAAUCACAGCCUCUUAGAAGAUUUGCUACUGGUUGGGGAAUUUGUAGCCGAGCGAUGCGUCAGGGGUUGUCAUAUAAAAUGUCCCUUCGGCACUGCUGCACUGACACGUGAAAGUCUAUGAAACAGCAAUCAAGACAUCGGUAGCACAGAGGCCAGAGCCAAGUGAACCCAGUCCCAGAGAUCGGGACCCAGAGAUGGCCCGUGAAAUGAGUUGGAGUUGGAAAACCACCAGAGGGAUAUUCCACGCUCUACUGCCAAUUUCACUAUCAUAAUCAGCCUCAGCUUAUAGAGUGAUAUUAUAAGCCUGGCUAUUUUCGCUGACACUUUUGCUCCUUUUUUCUUUUUCUUUUUUUUGGCACAGAUGAUAAGGAAGAUGAUACGAAUUAUGCAGUGACUGAACUGUAGAUUCUGCAAUAAAGAAAAAAUAAAGAAUGAAGCUGUUGAUUCAGACUCACAAAUAUCUGCUACGAGCUUGAUGCCUGGGUAAUGAUUGAUGGUGAAGAACUUCAUUACAUAAGCAUACCUGUCUCAAGUAAAAGACUGACAAAGUAAGCUGUCAUCAAACCAUCAGCUGAGUCCUACUGAAGUUGUAAAGGGCGCCCAUUAACCAAGGCCAAAUUGAAUCCAGAUGUUGUCAAGAAGGUUAUCGCUCUAAAAUAAAUGUUGUCUCAGCAUGUUGAUAUGCUUCUUAUACUCCUAUAAAAUAUAAAUAUGCAACCACAACAAAGCCACUCAAGUUAAUGAACCAACAGAAGUUAAUAGAUGUGGUUGCUUUGUUAAAACCUCCAUGUUUUCUGUCUCACUGGCCAUAUGUCCAAAAGUGAAUCGAAAGCUUUAAAGAAGGUGACAGGCUUUUAGAUUUCUGCAACAGUCUUUUUUUUUUAAGUGGGGCUUAUUGUAAACCAAAUCUGCAUGUAAAUGAAUAAAUCAUAGCAGGUAAAGUACAGCUUAUGAUUUCUCACUUUGUUUUUAUUGCUGUAGGAUGAACUGUAGGAUGAACUGAUUUCUCAGAAUUACCCGAAGCCAUGCGGCUGACAUAUCAGAAAAACCCAAAACAUCAUCAUGCAGUCCCUUUUAUCGCAGGAUCUGAUUUAUGUACACCACUACAGUAGCUAGUCACAUGACACGUGGAUAAGUGGCCUGAUUUUUUGAGUAUACCCAAAAAGUAAUGGUGAACUUACAGAAAUAAUGAGAUUCUUGAAUCCACAUCAGAAUAAAGCACCCAUUAACCUGAGGAGACAAAGUAAGUAGUAACUAAUUAGAUUUUGGUUGGUGCUAAUUGCGUCUUAUAUUGGACAGAAGGAGAUUUAUGGAUAUUAAGGCGAUCAACCUGAUGAGUUUUGUUCUGAUUUAACAGCGACUCCUUAUUAAAUUGUUCCCAAGUAAUUUAUCAUGAUUUAUUAUUUACUAGAUAUCUUUCCCCAACAUUUGGUUUGUUAAUUCUUUUUCUUUAAUUCCUGAGGAUUUUGCGUACUUUCUAUGAAUACUUUGUCUUUGUUCUAGAUGCAAAUAGCAAAUAGGCAUACGCCAUCAAUAGCUUUGAUUUCAUUCAACUGACCUUUCAAAAUGUAGGUCACUAUGUUUAUACCCUGUUGGGAGACCACUGUAAGCAAUUCUGCAAAAGAAGACAUUGAACUCGAUGUGAUGGUGUGUAAUGUGUUAUUUUUGUGACUGUUAUUGAGUUUCUUAAUAUGUAUUUAAUUUUCAUAUGCCACAUGUUUCAAUACACAUCUGGAUGUAUUUAAAUGAAUGUAUAACUGUUUCUAGAAUGUUUAUUUUUAUCUGUUGUACUUUUAAUUGUAUGCUUUUUUUAUGGAAAAGUUUUGCUGUUUAAAGAAAUUUCAGAUUUUAGAUAAUAUACUGCACCCUUUCUUCUCUCUUUAUUAACCAAUUUGGUACCAUUGGAGGUACUGUGAAGAACCAUUUAUAUAUUUAUACUGGACUCUUUGCAACCUAAGUACCAACCCCAUGAUUCUUUAGCCUGUAGAAGCAUCUUUAGCUAUGAUAACUUUAAGUAAUUAUUUUUUGUAUGACUUUACCUGUCCCAUUUCAUUGUCAAAGAUUUUAGUCCGUUCUGCUACACUGCAUUACUUCGGUUCAUUGACGUUUGCAAUCAUUCAUUUACACACAGCUUUCUAAAGGUCCCCCCACAGCAUUUCAGUUUUGUUAGGGUCUGAACUUUGUUUCAUUGCAGCACCUUGAUUCUUUUCUUUUUCAGCCAUUCUGUUGUGGCUGUGCUCAUUGUUGCACAAAACAAUUUCAGCUAAACUUUAGCCUGAUGGCCUGACAUCUGACUAUAGAAUACUUUGGUAUACAGAGAAGUUUAUGGUCAACUCACUGCAAUGUGGCUGCAAAAGGAACCAAAAUCAACCUCCCUCCACCACUGUGUUGCUGUGAGGUGUUUUUUUCUGAUGUGCUGGAUUUGUUUUUUGUCAAACGGGGCACUGUGAAUUAUCUCCAAACAUCUCAGCUGUGGUCCCUUCUGUCCAAAGGACAUUGUUCCAGAUGUGUUGUAGUUUGUUCAGAUUUAGCGUUGCAGACUGCAAUGCUGCCAUGUUUAUUUUUAAGCGAAGAGGUUUUCUCCUGGCAGUCCUUGCAAACAAUCCAUACCCGUUUAGUCUUUUUUCUAACUUUCUAACUUUGACCUUUAGCAUGCUAACUGAGGCCUGUGGAGUGCGAGAUGUAGCCCUUAGAUGUUUUGCGAUUUCUUUGAGCAUUGCAUGGCCCGAAUUUAGGGUGCAUUUGAUGGGAUGUCCACUCCCAGGAAGACUGUGCUAAUACACUCCUGAAUACUCCUGACAACAAAGUAUCAAAACAUUUGCUUUUAUAGAGGCGCUCACACUAUACUGAUGAUCAUUUAAUCCAGUGUUUUCAAUUAGCAGCAUCUGGCUGCUACUUACUCUUUUAAUUCCUGUGGAAGCAGUAAGUGUGUACUUAGUUUUUUACAAGAAUUGCAUUCAACCCUGUGAAAACUUUAUUUUUCACAUCACUAAAAUUCUCUCAGACACUUUUUUGAAGUGUUUUUUUUUUUUUCUACAGCUUCACUGUGAAGAACCACUUUCAGUUCCAGUUUGCACAUUUGUUAUGUAUACAAAAUGUCAGUCAGUUUGGCAGUGGUACUAGGUUCCAGAUUUGAGUUUGGAGUUUUGGUGUUAGGUUGACACAUUUGGAAGUUGUAUCUUUAGUAGCAUUAUUCCAAAAUUUCUCUCACUAUGACAGUAUCUGCUGCACCAUACACAGAUCUUUUUUUUUUUUUCCCAACUUCAGUCAUGUGAACUUCCUUUAUAAAAACUUUUAGGCUUUUACAAAGGUGAAAACAUCCCGUAACAUUUUACUGCAAAAAAAUAUUGUCAAAGUACCUCAUAAUAAAAGUAAAUCUCUAAAAUCUUCUAAAGGUUAGUCAGUUCUGAAAUUCCUAACACAGAAAAGGGUUUUGUUAUUGGUUUUAAGUGAACAGCUUUAUGCAUUUAGAAAGAAUAUCUGCGCUAGAUCACCACUUGUCUGUUAUAUUGAAUACUACAGUAGGAGACCUUUGAAAAAUCUGCGUAUACAUAAAUAAGCUUCUGUGUUCUUUAAUGCGUCUGUGUGUUAAGAAUGUCCUUUCGUAAUAUAAAUCUUCAACAUACUGCAUAGAUCUCUCAGCCACAGCCAGUGGUCUUCAUUUACUUUCAAACACAUCUGCCUUUGGUAUGAAUAUGGCUGUCAGUCCCAUGAAG